This 537-nucleotide ribosomal RNA is filed under the name uncultured Trabulsiella sp. RNAcentral describes it as "bacterial SSU rRNA". It matches the Rfam family "Bacterial small subunit ribosomal RNA", at positions 505 to 1041 of the family's 1533-position model. Lineage: Bacteria; Pseudomonadati; Pseudomonadota; Gammaproteobacteria; Enterobacterales; Enterobacteriaceae. The record is from RNAcentral.
GUGCCGGCCGCCGCUGUAAUACGGAGGGUGCAAGCGUUAAUCGGAAUUACUGGGCGUAAAGCGCACGCAGGCGGUCUGACAAGUCGGAUGUGAAAUCCCCGGGCUCAACCCGGGAACUGCAUUCGAAACUGUCAGGCUGGAGUCUUGUAGAGGGGGUAGAAUUCCAGGUGUAGCGGUGAAAUGCGUAGAGAUCUGGAGGAAUACCGGUGGCGAAGGCGGCCCCCUGGACAAAGACUGACGCUCAGGUGCGAAAGCGUGGGGAGCAAACAGGAUUAGAUACCCUGGUAGUCCACGCUGUAAACGAUGUCGACUUGGAGGUUGUGCCCUUGAGGCGUGGCUUCCGGAGCUAACGCGUUAAGUCGACCGCCUGGGGAGUACGGCCGCAAGGUUAAAACUCAAAAUGAAUUGACGGGGCCCGCGACAAGCGGCGGAGCAUGUGGUUUAAUUCGAUGCAACGCGAAGAACCUUACCUGGUCUUGACAUCCACAGAAGUUUUCAGAGAUGAGAAUGUGCCUUCGGGAACUGUGAGACAGGUGC